UACGUAGGGGGCGAGCGUUGUCCGGAUUUAUUGGGCGUAAAGAGCUCGUAGGCGGUUUUGGUAAGUCGGGUGUGAAAACCCCAGGCUCAACCUGGGGACGCCACCUGAUACUGCUAUGACUUGAGUCUGGUAGGGGACCACGGAAUUCCUGGUGUGCGGUGAAAUGCGCAGAUAUCAGGAGGAACACCAAUGGCGAAGGCAGCACUCUGGGACGUGACUGACGCUGAGACGCGAAAGCGUGGGGAGCAAACAGGAU
RNAcentral lists this ribosomal RNA (256 nucleotides) under uncultured bacterium. RNAcentral describes it as "partial 16S ribosomal RNA". It matches the Rfam family "Bacterial small subunit ribosomal RNA", at positions 524 to 778 of the family's 1533-position model. The record is from RNAcentral.